This is a small nuclear RNA of Pteronotus mesoamericanus, 107 nucleotides long. Lineage: Eukaryota; Metazoa; Chordata; Mammalia; Chiroptera; Mormoopidae. The record is from RefSeq and is a predicted model, not a curated record.
GUGCUCGCUUCGGCAGCACACACACCGAAAGUGGAGUGAUAUGGGGUAGAUCAGCAUGGACCCUGCACAAGGAUGACACACAAAUUUGUGAAGCCAUUUCAUAUUUU